Molecule: ribosomal RNA, 505 nt
Filed under: uncultured bacterium
Lineage: Bacteria
Description: partial 16S ribosomal RNA
Rfam family: Bacterial small subunit ribosomal RNA
Source: RNAcentral
GACGAACGCUGGCGGCGUGCCUAAUACAUGCAAGUAGAACGCACAGUUUAUACCGUAGCUUGCUACACCAUAAACUGUGAGUUGCGAACGGGUGAGUAACGCGUAGGUAACCUGCCUGGUAGCGGGGGAUAACUAUUGGAAACGAUAGCUAAUACCGCAUAAUAUUAAUUAUUGCAUGAUAAUUGAUUGAAAGAUGCAAUUGCAUCACUACCAGAUGGACCUGCGUUGUAUUAGCUAGUAGGUGAGGUAACGGCUCACCUAGGCGACGAUACAUAGCCGACCUGAGAGGGUGGUCGGCCACACUGGGACUGAGACACGGCCCAGACUCCUACGGGAGGCAGCAGUAGGGAAUCUUCGGCAAGGGACGAAAGUCUGACCGAGCAACGCCGCGUGAGUGAAGAAGGUUUUCGGAUCGUAAAGCUCUGUUGUAAGAGAAGAACGGGUGUGGGAGUGGAAAGUUCACACUGUGACGGUAUCUUACCAGAAAGGGACGGCUAACUACGUG